Molecule: small nuclear RNA, 107 nt
Organism: Choloepus didactylus (southern two-toed sloth)
Lineage: Eukaryota; Metazoa; Chordata; Mammalia; Pilosa; Megalonychidae
Source: RefSeq, a predicted model, not a curated record
AUGCUUGCUUCAGCAGUAUAUAUACUAAAGUUGAAACAAUUCAGAAAAGACAUGCAUGGCCCCUGCACAAGGAUGACACAGAAAUUCAUGAAGCAUUCUAUAUUUAA